UCCUAUCAGCUUGUUGGUGAGGUAACGGCUCACCAAGGCUUCGACGGGUAGCUGGUCUGAGAGGACGAUCAGCCACACUGGCACUGCGACACGGGCCAGACUCCUACGGGAGGCAGCAGUAAGGAAUAUUGCGCAAUGGACGAAAGUCUGACGCAGCGACGCCGCGUGGGGGAUGAAGGUCUUCGGAUUGUAAACCCCUUUCGGGAGGGAAGAUGGAGUGGGUAACCACUUGGACGGUACCUCCAGAAGCAGCCACGGCUAACUUCGNNNNAGCAGCCGCGGUAAUACGAAGGUGGCAANNNUUGUUCGGAUUCACUNNNCGUACAGGGAGCGUAGGCGGUUGGGUAAGCCCUCCNNNAAAUCUCCGGGCCUAACCCGGAAAGUGCAGAGGGAACUGCUUAGCUAGAGGAUGGGNGANNNNNGCGGAAUUCCCGGUGUAGCGGUGAAAUGCGUAGAGAUCGGGAGGAAGNNCGGUGGCGAAGGCGGCGCUCUGGAACAUUUCUNACGCUGAGGCUCGAAAGCGUGGGGAGCAAACA
Molecule: ribosomal RNA, 536 nt
Filed under: uncultured bacterium
Lineage: Bacteria
Description: partial 16S ribosomal RNA
Rfam family: Bacterial small subunit ribosomal RNA
Source: RNAcentral